Molecule: ribosomal RNA, 405 nt
Filed under: Triticum aestivum (bread wheat)
Lineage: Eukaryota; Viridiplantae; Streptophyta; Magnoliopsida; Poales; Poaceae
Description: partial small subunit ribosomal RNA
Source: RNAcentral
AUGCACUCGCGCCCAAUCCCAUCCUCUCCCGUCCCGCUCCACACCAGCUGCCACACAACCCUAGCCCCUUACCCAUCAAUCCCCACAGCCCCUCCCUCCUCCUCGCUCCUGGCCAUGGCCUCCACCCUAGGAGCCUCGCCACGGCCUCCUACUCCCCCUCCACCACCGUACAUGCACACAGACGGCGGUGCCGGAGAAGAGCAGCUCCAGUCAUGGUGGGGUGCGGCUGUGAUAGAGAGGAACGAGUCAGGGACAAGGGGAAGGAGCAGGUCGACCCGACUCUAUCUCUCUGCACGAGGACUAGAGGAGCAAGUGGCGAGGGAAGCCGUCACGGCCAGCGACGGCGCUGCACAGGGACGUCCGCCUCUGGUUUUCUGUCCUGUCUCCCGAUCCCCUUUCGUUUAG